RNAcentral lists this ribosomal RNA (462 nucleotides) under uncultured Actinomyces sp. RNAcentral describes it as "bacterial SSU rRNA". It matches the Rfam family "Bacterial small subunit ribosomal RNA", at positions 338 to 795 of the family's 1533-position model. The record is from RNAcentral. Lineage: Bacteria; Bacillati; Actinomycetota; Actinomycetes; Actinomycetales; Actinomycetaceae.
CCUACGGGUGGCAGCAGUGGGGCAUAUUGCACAAUGGGCGCAAGCCUGCUGCAGCGACGCCGCGUGAGGGAUGGAGGCCUUCGGGUUGUGAACCUCUUUCGCCAGUGAAGCAGGCCUGUCACUUUAGUGGGUGGGUUGACGGUAGCUGGAUAAGAAGCGCCGGCUAACUACGUGCCAGCAGCCGCGGUAAUACGUAGGGCGCGAGCGUUGUCCGGAAUUAUUGGGCGUAAAGAGCUCGUAGGCGGCUGGUCGCGUCUGUCGUGAAAUCCUCUGGCUUAACUGGGGGCUUGCGGGGGGUACGGGCCGGCUUGAGUGCGGUAGGGGAGACUGGAACGCCUGGUGUAGCGGUGGAAUGCGCAGAUAUCAGGAAGAACACCGGUGGCGAAGGCGGGUCUCUGGGCCGUUACUGACGCUGAGGAGCGAAAGCGUGGGGAGCGAACAGGAUUAGAUACCCGUGUAGUC